Molecule: ribosomal RNA, 253 nt
Filed under: uncultured bacterium
Lineage: Bacteria
Description: partial 16S ribosomal RNA
Rfam family: Bacterial small subunit ribosomal RNA
Source: RNAcentral
UACGUAGGGUGCAAGCGUUAAUCGGAAUUACUGGGCGUAAAGCGUGCGCAGGCGGUUCGGAAAGAAAGAUGUGAAAUCCCAGGGCUUAACCUUGGAACUGCAUUUUUAACUGCCGGGCUAGAGUAUGUCAGAGGGGGGUAGAAUUCCACGUGUAGCAGUGAGAUGCGUAGAGAUGUGGAGGAAUACCGAUGGCGAAGGCAGCCCCCUGGGAUAAUACUGACGCUCAUGCACGAAAGCGUGGGGAGCAAACAGG